This 9551-nucleotide long non-coding RNA is filed under the name Eutrema salsugineum. Its description in RNAcentral is "long non-coding RNA (ESAL_LNC000826)". Lineage: Eukaryota; Viridiplantae; Streptophyta; Magnoliopsida; Brassicales; Brassicaceae. The record is from RNAcentral.
GGUAAACGACAAACAUAUUUAUUUUGUCGAUUUUUUAAUUAUUAAUUUCUUUCAUUGUACAUUUUCCAAAUUCAAGACUGACAAAAAAAGAAAACUUAUUUCUUUGAGACAAAAGAAGAAACAUGGAUGAGUGAGAGAAAAUGUAGUGAGAAAAAAUGUGCUGAGAGAAAAUGCUCUCGGGCUCUCUUCCCCACUCUCCUUUUCCGUCUUUCUUUUUUCAAAAUUGAAUCAAUCUCCUCCAUUCCUUUCCAAUACUAAACAAAUCUCUACCACUAGAUUUUCCAAUCUUAUCAAUUCUUCCAGCGUUUUUCUUAAGAGUUACAAAAAUAUCCAAAACUCUGUUACUUUGUUUCUCAGAAACAUGGAGAGAUUGAAGACCAAGGAGAAAGCCCCCAUCUUUUAAGGCUUUUAACAACCUGAGAAGCUUUUCUCCCUGUUUGGGAAGUCCAGAUCUAAAAACGAAAAUCUGCUUGGAUCUAUUCACUUUUCAUCUGGUCAUUUUACUUGUUUCUACCAAAAGCUCAGAUCUGAUUUGGAGUUUUGAAAAAAAAGAACAGAUGAUGGAGUCCACUUCAAAGAAGCCGAGAAUCUUUGCUCCUCUAAUCGCUAGAGUUCUGACUCGGGGAUUUCUCAAACAUAACAAAGCCUCGGCUCCAUGAAUUUCCGUGAAACUCCACAGAUCCCUCCCAUCUCUUGCUAAAGAACAUAUCUCAAAUUGGAAAUCUUCAUCAAUCUCUCAAAAACUCUCCGUCAACCCUCCGUCAAGAUCACUCGACCAUCUUCGUCAACUUUAAACUCUUCUAGCCUUGUGCUAAGUCUCUCCUAAAGAAUUGUGUUUCGAGAUCUAUACAACCCUGCCAUAGCGGCAGCUAUCUUGCUAACUCAAGUCUUCAAACAACACAAGCUCGUUUUCAUAAGCCUUCUAGCCUAGUGCUAAGAUUAUCCCACCAAAUCUCUCUCUCUGCGUCCUCCAAUACGAAUAUCCAUCGCCGGAAGCCAUCAUCACGUUUUUUCUCAAGCUGCUUCUCUUAUAAUCAAGUCUGAAGCUUUCUCCCUUCUUGGGAAGAUUUGGUUAAUCUAUCAAACAAAAGAAGAAGAAGAAGUAGAGUGCUUUGUAUUCCUCCCAUCUCAGAAAAAAAAAGGAGAAGAAAUCUGAUCGUGUAAUUCCAAGCUUUUGCUAAGAUUGUAUUUAUAUGAAUUAAUUCGAAGAUCUAUCUUGCCUUUAGAAAGAUUGAUCACAGAAGGGUUUAAGCAAACUGAGCUCCAGACAAAUAAAAUAUAAAAUCCCAAUUAAGAGGAAAUAAAAAAAAAAACUUGAUCGCAGAAAACGCCGGAGGGCGGUGGAUCAGAUCAGUUUCGGUGGUGGCAAAGUGUCUUUUCUCCAUAUUAACCAUUCAUCGUUAUUCAACGGCAAAAAGGAAGAGAAGCGUACAGGAUCUGGCCCAAGACCAAGAAAGAAGUAAAGUGAUAAGCCCAAACGAAAAAUUUCCAAGGCCCAAAACCAUCAGAUGUCCAGAAACUAACUCCAGAAACUAUUGUCUGUAAUGAACGUCAUCGGGUGGAAUUGUCAAGGAGCUGGUUCGGAUUUGACAAAAGAUCAUUUGGAAGAACUUUAUAAAUGUUUUCAACCGAGAUUUCUAUUUUUGUCGGAGACCAAAAAUAAACGUUACUUUCUGCAAGACAUGCAAGUUCAUUUUGGAUAUGAUCAUGUUUUCACUAUUGAACCGAGAGGUCGAAGUGGCGGUCUAGCCCUUUUUUAUAUGGAUGAAUCUUCAGUUACUAUCUCCUAUUCGGAUGAACAUCUUAUUGAUGUAGAAACUAGUCUAGACGGACAUAAAAUAUUUUUGACGUUCGUUUAUGGAGAUCCGGUCAUUAAAAACCGAGAAUAUGUAUGGGAACGUCUCACUAGAAUGAGCCUCUCUAGAAAAGAAGCCUGGUUUAUGAUUGGAGAUUUCAAUGAAAUCUACGGAAACCAUGAGAAACGGGGAGGACGCAGGAGACAAGAAUACUCUUUUAUCCCUUUCCGAACCAUGUUAGAUAAUUGUGGGAUGCUCGAAUUUCCGUAUAAAGGAAAUUCUUUCUCAUGGGUCGGAAGAAGACGUAACGGAAAAGUCAAAUGUCGUCUCGAUAGAGCCGUGGGGAAUGAAGAAUGGCAAUCUAUCUUCCCCCACACCUCGGUGGAAUAUCUUAAAUUAUGGGGUUCAGACCAUUGUCCCGUUAUGGCCAGAAUUCAAGUGGAUAAUCGACGGAGGAAGAAAUCAUUUAGAUUUGAUAAAAGAUGGUUGGGAAAACCAGGUUUCAAAGAGGCGGUAAUCUCCGGCUGGAGCUCUUUGGAUGGAAUCACUCGUCGGGAUUUCCAUCGCAAAGUAGCUAAUUGUCGUACGAGUAUCUCUAAGUGGAAAAAGUCCCAAUCAUCAAAUUCAGAGAAGAUGAUUGAGGAACUGAAAAACCAAUUGGAUGCGGCCCAAGACGACGAAAACUCAACAUUAGAAGAAGUAGAAGAUAUUAGAAGGAACCUUUGUGCUGCUUUACGCGAGGAAGAAACCUUCUGGAAACAGAAAAGUCGUGAACAAUGGCACAAAGCCGGGGACAGAAACACGAAAUUCUUUCAUGCGCUCACAAAACAAAGGAGAAGCCGGAAUCGAAUUGUCGCCCUGAGGGACAGGAAUGGGAAUUGGGUGGAAAAUGCACGAGGUAUUGAACGGGUAGCUUCCCACUACUUCCAAGACUUGUUCACCUCGUCACAACCCCCAGACCCAGAUAAUGCACUCCGGUUCAUCACCGAGAAAGUGACAGAAUCUUCUAACCAGAUCCUCCUCAAAGACCCCAUAGAAGCAGAAAUUAAAGAAGCUCUCUUCGAUAUUAAUCCAGAUAAAGCCCCGGGACCGGAUGGAAUGACAAGCAAGUUUUACCAAAGGUUCUGGCAGGAUUUCCGCCAUGAUAUUGUGAAAUUAGUUAAAGAUUUCUUCACAUCAGGAUCUUUUGAUCCUAGACUCAAUCAGACCAACAUAUGUCUUAUCCCUAAGAAAGAAAAGCCUAGAGCUAUGACGGAGUUCCGUCCGAUUAGCCUUUGCAACGUGAGCUAUAAGAUAAUCUCAAAGCUCAUUUGUAAACGACUUAAAAAGACAUUACCUAAUCUAAUCUCAGAGACUCAAUCGGCUUUCAUGGCUAGGAGGCUGAUCACCGACAAUAUUCUGUUGGCACAAGAAAAUUUUCAUGCACUUCGUACUAACUCGGUGUGCAGAGAAAACUUUAUGGCCAUCAAGACAGAUAUGAGCAAAGCAUACGACAGAGUGGAAUGGAGCUUCAUUAAAGCCCUAAUGAUCAAGUUGGGCUUCUCUGAGAGAUGGGUCAAGCUUCUGAUGUUCUGUAUUUCUUCGGUAUCCUACCAAGUGUUGAUAAACGGAGAACUAAAAGGACAUAUCACUCCAUCACGAGGAUUGAGACAAGGAGACCCCCUCUCUCCGUUUUUGUUUAUCCUAUGCACCGAGGCUCUUAUCUCACUCCUAAAUGGAGCAGAAAGGGAAAACCAAAUUUUUGGGCUAAAAAUUGCCCAAGCAAGCCCACCAGUUUCCCAUCUAUUAUUCGCGGAUGAUAGCUUGUUCUUCUGUCGAGCGGACAUCCAACAAGGAACCGAGAUCUUUAGGAUCAUCAACACAUAUGGCUCAGCCUCGGGACAACAACUUAAUCUGGGCAAAUCAUCCAUCAUGUUUGGGAAUCGAGUUCACCCGACAUUGAAGCAAGGUAUCAAGGACGCCAUCGGAAUCUCGGCAGAGGGUGGCAUGGGCAUGUACCUGGGCCUCCCAAAACAAAUUUGUGGAUCAAAAAAGAAAGUUUUCUCCUACGUCCAUGAUCGACUGAGUAACCGAGUAAAUUCCUGGUCUGCAAGACUUCUUUCCAAAGGUGGAAAAGAAAUUCAGAUAAAAUCGGUCGCCCAAGCUGUCCCUACUUACGUCAUGUCAUGCUUUCUAUUACCCCAAGGAGUGACUGACAAGUUACGGAGUGCCAUUGCUAAUUUCUGGUGGAGUUCGAAACAGAAUAAUAGAGGGAUUCACUGGAUUGCUUGGGACAAGAUUUGUAUCCCCCAAGAUAUGGGAGGCCUAGGAUUUCGGGAUCUACAGGAUUUCAAUUUAGCUCUUCUAGCUAAACAGCUAUGGCGUCUUAUCCAGUACCCUUUAUCUCUGCUGGCUAGGGUCUUACGAGGACGAUACUAUAGACAAUCUGACCCGUUGGAAGAUCGUAGAGUCUACUCCCUGUCCUAUGGGUGGAGGAGUAUUUUAGCUGCAAAACCAUACCUAAUGAUGGGAUUGCGGAAGACGAUAGGGUCGGGUCUAAAUACAAGGGUCUGGUGCGAACCAUGGAUCCCGGACACUAGAGCUCGGCCGGCGAGAGCCACCCCACAGAUCGGCUACCAGGACCUGGGAUUACUCGUUUACCCCUUUAUUCGACAAGAUACAAAGCAGUGGGAUGUUCCCCUUCUGAGAAAUUUCUUCCAACCCGAAGAUGUCUCUCUCAUCCUAGGGUUGAGACCUAGCCGGAACCGUACCUUACCGAGUGAAAAUGUCCUGGCGGACAGUCUUGCAAAAGGAUCCCGAGUAAGAGGACAAAUAUUCACCCACAUUGAUCAUACCGAGUCGGUUGAGGAUGGCCCCCAAAACUGCUCUCAGCCCGGCCAACAUUGAUGUAAUAGUUGGGUAGUCGACAAAAAAAAAAAAAAAAUAUUAAUUUCUUUCAAUGUUCAUUCCAUAAUUAUUUUUGUUUUGGUUUAAAAAACUAAUUUUCCUUAGAUACGAGAAUAAGAUUUGUGCUUAUUAGUUUUAUUUUUCACUUGUAAAUUAAACUGAAAAUUUGUAUUGAUAAAAGUAGCUAAAAUUUUAACUAUCUUUUUUUUUUCUGUAUUCCAUAGAAAACAUAUAUAACGAGAAUGAAAUUAAAUAAAAUGAAAAAAACUUAUUCACUUUGAUUGGAAGAAGUGAGGUAUAAUCAUUAAAAAUUAUUUAAAAGUUAACAUAAAUAAUAUGAUACAAGACAAAAGUUAUCAUGAAUCCGAAAGCAAGAAUUGCAAUUAUUAGUUUCUUUUUCAAUGUAGUAUAUUAAAUUAGAAAUUUGUAUUGGUUAAAUUAGCUAAGAAAGUAAAAUAAUUUUAUAUUUAUUAUGUUUUGUUAUUUUAUAGAAAAUGUAUAUAAAGAGGAUGAAACUAAAAUGAUGAAAAACAAUGAUUUUUUAAUUAUUUAGAGAACUGAUAUAGAAUUUAUAAUCUUGUAUCAAUAUUAUGAUUAAUAAAUAGCAUUUGAUCACUUUGUCACACUUUUAGUUAGCUUUUAGUAUAUUAUUUAUAAAUAUUAUAUCAAAUUAUAAGUUUUCCAAACAUAACAUAGUAUAUAUAUAUUCAAAAUCAGAUCAUGAAACCUCACAAAUUAGAUAUUAUUUUUAAGAUUAAAACUAUAAUUUUCUUUAUACAUACUAUUAUAUUAAAAUAUAUAUAAAAUAAUAUUUUAUUAAAUAUAAUUAAUUGCAUAUAGUUUUUUUAUCAAAAUAUUAUUUAAAAAGAAGAGAUUGACAAACUUUAAAAAAUUCUUGUGGCCGCGCAAGGCGCAGACUUAAUACCUAGUUUUACAUAAAGAGAAAUUGACAAACUUUGUUACUAAAUAAUUUAAUGUAAUAAACCAUAACUAAUUUUCUCAUUAUGUUAAAGUGAUAACAUACUAUGAAAAAGUCCAAUAUUAGCUAUUUUUUUUUUUUUUAAAAUCUCCAAAAAAAUGCUAUAAACAAAGUAUAUAUUUAACACAUAUAGAAAUUUAGGGUUUUGUAUUUUUGUCAUUUAGAAAUGAUAAAAUUUAUGAAAUAUGGUAUCUCUACUAUUGCAAUUUUUUUGUUAUUAGAAUAAAAUUAAAUUGGUUUGGAAGGAAAUAGUAUAUUCUAUAGUAUAGAUAUAUUCAUGGUAUUUGUUUCCUUUAAAAAUUUUGAAGUUAUUUAUAUAUUUUGGUUCAAUAAUAUGAUAAUAAGCUAAAAUUUUAGGCUUUAAGUUAUAAUUUUUUUUCUUGUUGGCAAUAAAUAUUAUGUAAUGCAUAUGUUUAAAUUGGAUGAUGAUACAAUAACCACAUUAGUGCAAACCAUUUAGUUAUACAUAUCCUAGUUAAGCUAUAUAUUAAUUUUUGGUUAAUUUUGACUUUUUAUAAAACAGUUUGCCAGCAUAUAUAGUUUUAUUUUCUAGAUAACAAAUCUGGUAGAAUUAAUAGAAAUUUUAAGUUUUAUGGUACACAUUAUCACCAUUAGAAAAAUGCUAUUAAAUAGUAUUUUUUAAAAAGUGUAAUUUUAAUUUCCUUACUAAAAAUAAACAAAAUCAUAAAUCACGAGAAAAAUAUUUACUAGCAUUAAAUAUGGGUUAUUUUUUGGUAAUUAUAUCUUCUAGAAAAAUUUCUAUAAAUAUUUUGAAACCGCAAAAACAAUUGGUACAUCUCUGAAAAAAAAUCAUCGCAUAACAAAAACAAUGCAAAGAGAGAUUGUUAGACCUUACAGUAAGUCAAAAAUACCGCGACUGCGAUGGACCACCGAUCUUCAUCAAUAUUUUGUCCAUGCUGUUGAACAACUCGGUGGCGAAAAGAGUAACCAAUUUUUUUUCCAUUAUUCUUCAGAACAACAAAUACAAUUUCUCACUUUUUACCAUAUAAUCAAUAAGCUCUUUUUUAUUUUUGUUUUACCAAUUGUGUUAUUUUUCUCAGCUUUCAAAAUUUCAACUAUUAUAUCUUACACAUAGUAUAUUCUUUAUAUCCUUUAAGAAAAAUAUUAAUUUUUAUAAAAGUCUAUCUUAUGAUUAUUCUUAAAUUUGAAGGAGCGACUCCUAAAAAGAUUUUGAAGUCAAUGGGUGUGAAAACAAUCACAAUAUCGCAUGUGAAAAGCCAUCUUCAGGUACUUAUAUAUAUACACACAUUUUAUGAACUACAUAUAUAUAUCACUAUCUAUAUAUGUAAAAAUUUAUAGUGUGAUAAUAUUGAUUCUGAUCCUGGUGUAUAUGUAAUCAAAUGUAUACGUUUAUUUCAAUAGGUGUAUAGGAACAUGAAGCAUGAAGAGUCUAUACAAGGUAAAUAAAUAUGAUUUACACUUUACUUUAUCAUUUACACUUCACUAUAUUAAUGUAUAAAUAUCUUUGUACUUAAACUGUUUCGCAUAAUCCUAAUAUGUAUGGAUCCAUGAAAUAUAUAUAUGUACAUGCAAAUCUAAAGCAAAAAAUAGAAUGAUACGGCAACUGAGAUGGCGGCAAACUCAACAAUACCUUCGAAUCUAUGAACGUCUUCGAGACGCAACCAAGUUUAUGCAUAGCCAACAAAGGUUCAUGCCAUAAUUAAUUAAUGUUAGCUCAUGAAUCAUUUAAUUAUUUGUUGUGGAAUCAAAAUGAUUAACUUUAUUUUUAUUUUUUUUGUAGGCUACAAUGCAAUAUUAAUGAAAAGAUAAUCGCAUUUCUGAAAUUAAGUAACAAAAUUAUGGAUGUGCCUUGCAAAUCUCGCUUUCAAUCUUCCAGAGUAAAUUUUAUUUUCUUUUGCAUAUAUUAUAAUCAUGCAUGAUUGUCAAAAUAAGUUUCGAUGAAUAUGAUAUGACCUAGAUAGACGUAUGUAUAUUGCAUAUACAAGAUCAUUAUACCUUACAUAUGCCUAUAAUAUUGCCAAAACGUUUAUAUUUAUCAGUAUUUACCGAUAAAUUAUGAUAUCAAACGAUUUUCAAUAUUAUUUUUUAAUGGCAUUUUUUCUUCAUUUCUUGGUUAUUGUUAACUUUGGUGAGAUAAUUUGACUUAAAAUAGUGGAUAAAGAGGAUCUAUGUGACAGUUUAACAUGCGAAUUAUUUUGAUUGUUAAGAAGUAUUUAAUUAUCUGUUUAAUUAUAUUAUGGUAGGUUGGACUAAUUGAAAUCAGAGAUGAUGAUAAAGAUAAUAACAACAAUAUUGUUGUGAAUGCUGAUGAUGAUGUGGCUAUUGCUGUUGAUGGUGCAAAUGAUCCUUUAAACUCAAAAGUUUUGAAGGAUGAAAAAAAAUUGUCCCUUGAACUUACUCUUGGUCUCAAGUACUAAAAGGACUUGGAUUUCUAUCCUUUUUUAAGCUUGCUUCCCUUUUAUGUAAUGAUAUUGUCCCAUAUAAUGGGAUAAAAAAUAAAAAUAAACAAUAUAUAUUAAGAUGGGGACCCUAUUAAGAUGAUAGUUGUUUUUAUAAAAUGUUACUUGGUGAUCUCAUUUAUUAUUUGGGUGGAAGAUUAUUAUAUAUAUAUAUAUAUAUAUAUUUCCAAUAAAAUAUGUUAUUUUUUUAAAAAAAAAUGUUUUUUAUGUUUAUAUAUUUUAAGCUACAACUUUAAAUAAUGGAAACUCCUUAAUCCAAUGGUUGACUAAAAGUUAAUUAAUCAAGAGGUCUAAGGUUCGAUUCCCAAAAGAUGUGAUUUCUGAAGAUUAUUAUGGAGUCAAACUCAUAAGAAAAUUUCAAUCAUCGUUCAAGAGAAAUUGCCCAUUUCUUUUUUUUGUUUAACUUCUGAUUUCAAUUGAACUCAUUACGAAAUCUUCAAAAAAGUCUUUAAACAUAACAAAAUUUUUUUUUAACAAAAGACAUUCUCUGCAAGUUUAGGGUUACAAGAAUGGGAAGAAUCAUUCAUUCCAUUACUGUUUGAUUUUUUUUUAGAUGACAUACAAUAUUUCUAAUUCUAAUUUAAUUAACUGAUUUAUAUAAUUCAACGACAACUCAAUUCUGUGAAGACAUUAUUGCUUAUUGACAUAGAGUACCAUUUUCAGAAUGGGAUUGACUUCCAGUAAAAGCUGGAGCCUUAGUUAAAGGAAUAGUGAUAGUCUCAUUAACAGACCAAACUAUUACAGAGCUCAUGGCUGGUCUCUUUGCUGCAUUCUCUUGAACACACAACGAUCCAAUCUGAAUCAACUUUAUGAUCUUUUCUCUCGGAUUUCUAUCAGGAAAGGAUCGACAACAAUCUCUGGUUUUCCUUCAACUAAUCCACUGGACAACUGCAUGUAUGCAACCAACAACAUUAAUUGAUGGUUGUUUCCAAGCAUUUCAAUAUUUUGACAAGUUUACUAGUUUUUAAAUGUUCUUACAUUUGUUAGACUCACUAGACAAAGCGUCAGGAGUGCAUUGCAUCAUCAUGCAUGUAAACAUCUGAAAAUGUUGUAAACUCUGCUCUUAUUAUGACACUAUAGAACCUGAGCACAACCGAAGUAUUUACCCGUUUCUGGAGUACUCUUCUUUUCUAUUAGGUCUAGUACAUAUCCAAGUACUAACUCCCUUGAGCUCGAGACAAAGAGAGAAGCUUGUCAAAUCUAAAAGAGAUCUCGCAAGGGAGUCAAAACUCUGUUUCACGUUGCUGAAUUUUCAAUUGAAAUGUUUUUUUUUUCUACAAGUUCAUGGUUACAGAAUUAAAGUAACCACUCGCGCAUUCAUUCUUUGAUUUAUUUUUAAAUGGCACAUACAUUAUUUCAACCUUUUUCUUGUCAUGCAUUAUACAAGUUUGAACCUCGGCAAUCAAACAUUGACAAUCCUAUUAUAGAGCUCAUCAAAGAUAAAAUGAU